Molecule: microRNA, 23 nt
Filed under: Sus scrofa (pig)
Lineage: Eukaryota; Metazoa; Chordata; Mammalia; Artiodactyla; Suidae
Description: ssc-mir131
Source: RNAcentral
CUGACCGACCCACCGGCCGCAGC